AAUCAGGCUUUUUUAAAAGCUACAUACCAUACAUUGUGAUUAUUUU
Molecule: non-coding RNA, 46 nt
Organism: Columba livia (rock pigeon)
Lineage: Eukaryota; Metazoa; Chordata; Aves; Columbiformes; Columbidae
Source: Rfam